RNAcentral lists this long non-coding RNA (16377 nucleotides) under Gossypium barbadense (sea-island cotton). RNAcentral's name for it is "long non-coding RNA (GBAR_LNC000484)". The record is from RNAcentral. Lineage: Eukaryota; Viridiplantae; Streptophyta; Magnoliopsida; Malvales; Malvaceae.
AGUGUAAAAAAUUGAAAUGUUUUAAUUUAAUAAAGAACAAUUAUCUUAUACACCGUCUAUGAAGUUUUUAAAAUUCCACAAACAAAUUGAAGAUACUACAUGUGUCUUGUAAGGUGUAGUGGGCCAAAUUUGCCCGGCCCGAAUAAAAACAAUAAAUGAUAUAAAAAUCUAGAUAUCAAUAGUCCAUUAUUUACAACCCAAAAUCAAACCAAAUUAACCCCAAUGUUUCAAGACCCAAAUUACAAAUCCAUUUACAAAAUGACAUAGCCCAAUACCCCAAACGGCCCAGAAACUGAGCCCCAUUUUGGCAAACCCUAGGGCAAGGGUCUCCUUGUGCCGCAGCCCUCACUAGCAGCCAAACCACAUUGCGCCAGACAACGCCUCCAACAGCACCAGCGCACAGCCCUCGUACGCCACGCCCGUACCUCCGUACGAUGCCAGCAGACUCCGUACCUGCGAAAAAGACACACAGAACAGCAGCGAAUAGGGAAGAAGAAAAUAGCAUUUUCAUUUUUUGAUUUUUCUUUCUUUUCGGCUAUAAAGGCCAUGUAAUAGCCUAGGUGAGUUUUUUACGCAACAUAAACGCACAAUAGGCCAUACAGACACAAUCAAUACAUUUUGAAAUACAAAAAAGCAACGAGCAUUCGAAGGUGAUUCCGAUUCAUAAUUUCUGAGAUUUUUUCCUUUUCUUCUUGGCUUAGUUUCAUUCUCCCUGGAAUUUCUUUUUGUUCUUUCGCAUUUUGGGUUGUAUAAAAGAGAGAGGAAAUGAAAUCUUACCCCGUGAAUACGCCGUGAGAUAUCCUCUGAUUCGUUGAAAUCGGGGUCCGAGAGGAGUAUAAGGCGGAAAGAAAACCAUCUUGAGGCUCGAACAGGCCGAUCUCCAUUCAUUGCGGUGGAUUGGCAUGGCAGAUGGAGGGUCAAGGUUCGUUUGAGGGGAGUAAAAAUGGAGGCUAGGGUUUGGAGGUGCUGGCUUAAUCUGCUGAUUGAGCCAUUUUAUAGGACCUCAAACUGUGUCGCAUUGACAUCAAAGCCCGACCCGAUUCGAUUCCAAACCCGAUGACCCGCGUGUUUUUGCGGUGAGGGACUAUUUGCACAUUAAAUCCCUCCCUUUUGCGCCACGUUUAAAUCAAUCCAUAUUUUUAUUCCAUUUCUUUUAAUUUAGGCUUGUAUUUUGAGCUCAUUUGCAAUGGGGUCCGCACAUGUACACAGCGUUUUGGGAGUCUGGAAUAAUUUCAGUUUUGAUCCUUGCAUAUUCGUAUACAUUAUGCGCUGGCCCUUAUCUGUAUUUACAAAUUAUCCUUCCAUUUUAACGUGGUUUCAAUUAGACCCUCUCUUUUAUGUGAUUUCAAUUAUUUUUUUUAGAUUCACCUCAUGUUUUAUUUUAUUUUACUUGUGUUCAUUUACUCGUGUUCAUCGUCUAACUUGCAUCAUUUACUUAUUGUAAUUUGGGUAACUAUGCUUUCAUAUUUUGCGUAUUACCUCAUGUAAUUGUUUUCUUUAUAUACGCUAUUGUACAUAUAUAUUUGUACUUUACAUUAAAGUCAAUUUCAUUUCAUAUAUAUAUACAUUGUUAACCUUAUGUUAUUUUAUACAUGUGUUGUCUUAAAUUUAUUAUUGUAGUUUAUUACAUGGUCCUAUAUAAUAUAUUUUCUCAAUUAUUAUUAUAUACAUAUAUGUUUAUAGAUAUCUAUACUUGAUAUCUAUAUAUAUAUUAUUAAAUCUAUGUAUUUUAUGCAUGUAGUUUUUCUCUUUUUUCAUAUAUGUAAGUAUAUUCUUCAAUUCAUUAUAUAAUUUAUAAUAAAAUCAGUUUUAGCUUGCAUAUAUUUCUAUGUUUUUUACAAAUAAUUAUUUUUUAAAAAAAGGGGGGUUAUUUAUAUAUAUAUAAUUUGUAGAUCCAUUGCAUUUUUGAAGAUUAUAUCGUACUAUAUAUUUUUAUUAUUACCGUUUUUAAUAUAUUUUACACAUACUUUAAAUUAUUAUUCUAUACAUCCUCGUUUUUUUUUUAAAAAUCAAUAUUAUUCUACGUUUUGGUAUGAUUUUCGAUUUAAACAUUCAUUUUAUAAUAUUUUUUAAAAUGAUUAAGCGUAUAUCCCUAGUUUUUCCUUUUUUACAAAUAAAUUUUAAAUGCACCAAUUCAUUAAUUUGCAUGUCAUAAAGAUUUUUGGUUCAUUAGAUCGCAUUUGUUCCGACAUCGUCUUAUACCACUUUGACUUCUAAAUUCUAUUUUGUUUUGCAUACGCUCUUUUGGUUGCUUUAUAUAUGUACAUUCCUUGCGUGGCAUCCACCUUAUUGAACUGUUAAUUACUCAUCAUAUAUGAUUGAAAUUAGGCUAUAAUUCCUAGAUUAAUUAUAUUUAAUUGCUUGUUCUGCUAGUUGAUUCAUUAAGUAUUGUAUCUCGUAUGUGUAUAUUACCUCAUUCAUCGUUUUCCAUUUGAUUUUCGAAAUGCGGUUUUAUAAAAUCCAAAUUUUAUGAUUAAUCUCGUACUAUUUCAAAUUGAAUUAAUACGUCUUAAGCUAGCUCUAUAAUCAUUCAUUCAAAAAUUCUUUAAAAACGAAGGCAAGAUUCGAUGUUUGGCAAUUCGUGGAAUCGUGCCCUAACGUGUUGGGUUGCGAUUUCGCGUUUGCUCAAAAUAAUCGAAUAUCACUUCGAAAUUUCACUCACGCCUUUUAAAAUUCCUCAAAACGAAGACGAGGUUUGAUAUUUAGCAAUUCGCAGAAUCGUGCCCUAACGUGUUGGGUUGCAAUUUUGCGUUUGUUCAAAAUAAUCGGGCUUCCCUUCAAAAUUCCAUUCAUAUCUCCUAAAAUUUUUUAAAUGAAGGCAAUGUUCGACGUUUGAUAAUUUGAGAAUCAUGCUCUAUCGCGUUGGGUUGUGGUUCCUGGUUUGCUCAAAAUGAUCGAACAUUCCUUUACAUUCUCACUCAUGUUUAUAAAAAAAAUACUUAAAAACGAAAACGAUGUUCAAUGUUUGGCGAUUUGAGAAUCGUGCCCUAUCGUGCUGGGUUGCGCUUUUUCAUUGGUCUGAAACAAUUGAAGAUCCCUUCAGAAUUUCCCUCGCACUUUCUAAAAUCUUUUAAAAUAAAGGCGAUGUUCGAUGUUUGGCGAUUUGAGAAUCGAGCCCUAUCAUGCUGGGUUGCGCUUUCUCAUUUGCCCAAAAUAAUCGAAUAUCUCCUCGAAAUUUUCACACGUAUUUUAUAAAGUAAGGCAAUGGUCAAUAUUUAGAAAUUCGAAGAAUCGUACCCUACUGUGCUGGGUUUCGAUUUUUCGUUGGACUAAAUAGUUGAGCAUCAUUCUGUAAUUCUCAAAUUAUAUACCUUCGGGCAUCGAAACAAGAAAUUUUGGCAACCAAGUCGGAUCACUCAAACGUUAUAAAAGGAACCACAUUUCAAAAAACUUUUAAUUUUAGACAUAAGGACAGUAUUUAAUUGACUUGGUACCAAUUUUGGGCGUAGUGAGGGUGCUAAUCCUUCCUCAUGCGUAACCGACUCCCGAACCUGUUUUCUCAAAAGUUCGUAGACCAAAAUUAUUGUUUUAAUAAACCAAAAAUGUUUAUUUAAACUAACCUCAUUUUUAGGUGAUUCGAUCACACCAAAAUAAAAGAUCGGUGGCGACUCCAUAUUUUCAUUUUCCAAAAAGUCGAUUCCACCAUUUUUCAUUAAAAUAAUUUUUUUUUAAAAUCGUGGGAUGGUUUCGACAGCUUGGCGACUCCGGUGGGGAUUUGAACUUGAGAGUCGAGCCAUAAAAAUCGAUUAUUUACUGUCCUUUUGUUAAAAAACCGAAAAUUUAUUUUAAAAAUCAUGUAUAUUUCGAUUGCAUUUGAUUGUAUGUUUGUGCGGGCCUUGUAGAAUAGCACUGCAUUUCAUUGCAUGACCACUGUGGUUACACCUUCUAAGUGGAAGUAAGAAGCUACGCUUUCGUGAGGUUUUCACCUCCGCAUGGGCUAGUGGAUUGCUUCCGGGGUACAUCCGUACCUAUGAUUUCGUGAGAUUUUCAUCUCUGCAUGGUCAUAGGGAAAUGUAUCCCCUCGAACCGAACUCGAUCUAUAUGAGCUUAUAAUGGGUGAGGAUUGAGGAAUCUGCUGGUUCGGGUACCCAUUUUCCUAGAACUAAACCACAUAUAGUGAACCUUAGGAGCUAUCCUUGGGUGGAGCCGCGUCGAACCUUAGUACUUACCCGUACAUGCGUUAUAAUCACCGUUUAUGUGCUUGCAUUCUAUUGCUAUUAUUUGAUACUAACCGAUGUUUUGUUUUGAUUGUCUUUUUUGCAUGACAUUGCAUAUUAAAGGAGGCGUUAAUCUACAUUCAAUUACUAAGUUAGAAAAUUUGACAUGGAGAAUGAAUUUUUUAGUAAAGUCGAGGAUAAUGCGGCCGUUCGUGCUUGGUCGGAGAGGCUACAAUCUGAGAGAGGGGAUAGCUUGGCAGAAGGGUAUGUGUCGGAGCUGUAGGAUUUCACUCGCGUCAAUGUAGUACAGAAUAAGCUGCAAUAGUUGAGAGACAUUUGGGUUAGUUGGGAUGAAAGGAUCAAGCAGUUGUUUUACCAAAGUUAUGGUGACAUAUCCUACCUGCUAGACAUUAAAGUGGAUAAGCAUUUGUUCCGAGCCUUGGUGCAGUUUUGGAAUUCCGCAUAUAAGUGUUUUACCUUUGGAGAAGUGGAUUUGGUACCUACCAUGGAGGAAUAUACUACGCUGCUUAGAUGUCCAAAGAUUCAGGUCUGGAAGACUUAUGCCCGGGUUUUUAGUAAUCAGGCUUUCGUGAAGAAACUGAUGAGCAUUUCUGGGAUGAGCGAGUCUUGGGUCACUGCUCGGAUUCAGCAGAAAGGAGAUAGCAAAUGUGUCCCUUGGGAGAAUUUGCGAGAUUUGAUCUUGACUCAUCUAGACGAAAGAAAGAGGGUCGAUAUAUUUGCCUUAAGCAUCUACGGAUUAGUGAUCUUUCCUACGGCUUUGAGGCACGUGGACGAGGCGGUCAUUGACUUGUUUGAUCGUCUUGAAAAGGGAAUCACACCGGUACCGGCAAUAUUGGCAGAAACGUUCAGAUCUUUGAGCUUAUGUCAGAAGACGGGUGAGGGGCGAUUUAUUGGAUGUGCUCAACUAUUGAUGGUAUGGUUUCAUGGGAACUUUUGGAAGGUAGACAAGGUUUCCUAUCGAGUCUUUUCCAAAGGUUAUUCCCCUUUGAAAGAAGAGGUAGCUAUACAGAGGAGAAAGGAUAUCUCAGAAGAGAAGUGGAUGGAUAUUUUUCAGAACCUUAAGGAGGAGGAUAUCGAGUGGAGUGCUUAUUGGAUGGUUCCUGAUGAGAUCAUGUACCAAUGUGGUAACUUUGAUUGGGUGCCAUUGUUAGGAAUUUGGGGAGCUACCGGGUAUACUCCGUUGAUAGCCUUGAGGCAAUACAAGUCGAGGCAGUUUGUACCCACGACCUAUGGACUUGCUCAGAGUGAAUUCUCGUUUAAAGGUGCUCACUAUUAAAAGAGAGUUCGGGAGUUAUCGGAUGCUUGGAAGCAAACUUGUUAGAUGAAGAGGUUAGCCGUCGGUUCUAUGGUAACGCCCGAGUACAGCAAGUGGUUUAAGAAGAGGAUUAAUGAUAAUAUUCCUAGGCCAAGCUUAGAGAAUGCUCGGCCUAUCGGGGAACAAUUACAAGUCGCCCCAUCAGAAUUGGAGAUUAUAAAACAAGAUUUCGAGAAGAAGAGUUUGGAGUUUGGUAAGAAGAUCGAACAAUUAGAGGAAGAGAAGAUGCACCUAAGAUUAGAGGCUGAUGUCCAAAGGUCAGAGGCUGAGAAGUGGAGAAAAGGAAAAACUAAGGCUGAAGAAGAUCUAGACAGUUUGAAAAUGGACUACAAAAAGUUACGCCUAUCUAUGAGGAUUGCGGGUUUAGGUAAGACUUCCGAACAAUGGCGCCAUGAAAUUCGGGAAGAAAAAACCAAUACCGACCGGUGGGAAAGGAAAUUUCGAGAAACUCAAGCACGAAACGAAGAUUUGGAGAAAAGUCUAUCAGAAAGCAGAAAUGAGCAAGGGGAAUUAAGGGCUAGAGUGGCAGAACUCGAGAAGUCCCUACAUCAGUACCGAAACCGCAACACCGUGACAGAAUUGAGGGCAAGCUUGAGCAAAAUACAAGAAAUGAAAGGAAGAAUAGAAGAGUUAGAGGCGUCACUGCAAAAUUGUGAUAUGCGAAUCCAGUUUUUUGAGGCAAACGAGGAUCGUUGGAAGGAGCAACUUCACCAUGCGCAAGGCCAAGUUAGAAAUAGGGAUUACCUUAUGGGAGAGGCCAUAACCCAGAUCCGGGAGGUAGCGGACUACUUGCAAACUCUAGCGGUUCAGGCAGACACACUAAGCGUGAAAUAUGAGUUAGAGUCGGAGCGCGAACAAGAGCUGGCCUCAUUGCUUAGAAAAAUUAGGACUUUGAGCGUUAGAGCAAAAUUAUAUUUGUAACUCGACUUUAUGUAAAAGAUUUUAUUUUCAAGUAAAAUUUUCUAAGGGCUGUUGAAUCAAAAUUGAUGCCUCCUUUACAUUCAUGCAUUUGCAUUACAUCAUAUCAUUAUGCAUUAAAGGCCAUUAGAGUUUUCUAAUUAAUUAACUAAAAAUUAUUUCAAUAACCUGGAAACCAAUGAAAACCAACCACGCACCCCUACAGUACAAGGAAAAAAUCAAUGGAUAAGAGACUCGAGAAAUUAGAGCGGAUGCAAAAAGACAUGCAAGAACAAAUACAGUCUCAGAUGCAAGAGCAGCUAGCCAAGAUUCAGUGAGAGAUGAAAGAGCAAAUGAUGGAGUCCCAGAGGGAAAUGAUGAGUCAGUUAUCCCAAUUGUUGUUGGGAGGAACGGAUAAGGGAAAGGGCCCCAUGGACAAAGUUGAAGAAGCUAAUGAGGAUCCUCAAUACCCCCUGGCUUCACUCUGACACAUGUACCGGUGAAGCUCGAGAUUAAUCUACCGAAGCCAUCUGUCACGAUCAUACCCCAGCAGGUUCAGGCUGGAGCUUCAAUACUGAUGAAUUUCCAAACCGGCUUAGGCUCCAACUUUGUCAACAACCCGAACUAUCCGCCCAUUCCCGAUUUGGAUGAAAUUGCUGAAGAAGAAAAGGCGAGGAUGGAUUCGCAAAAACAAUUGGAAAAACGGUGUAGAUGGCUCGAAGAGAAAUUUAAAGCCAUGGAAAGCGCGGAUCAUCAUCAAGGGAUUAAUGCCAAGGACCUAAGUUUAGUCCCAGAUUUAGUCCUUCCCCCCAAAUUCAAAAUGCCCAAGUUCGAGAAAUACAAUGGAACAAGUUGCCCUGAAGCUCAUAUCAUUAUGUUCUGCAGGCGAAUGACGGGAUAUGUUAACAAUGACCAGCUAUUAAUCCACUACUUUCAAGAUAGUUUGGUCGGGGCGGCGUCUAAGUAGUACAACCAAUUAAGCCGCUCUAAGAUUAACUUGUGGAAGGACCUGGCCCAAGCCUUUAUGAAGCAAUACAAUCACGUGACAGACAUGACCCCUGACAGAAUCACUCUCCAGAAUAUGGAGAAGAAAUCGAAUGAAAGCUUCAGGCAGUACGUAUAAAGAUGGAGGGAGGUGGCCAUACAAGUUCAGCCGCCACUUCUAGAAAAGGAGAUAACGAUACUCUUUAUAAAUACCUUGAAGGCCCCUUUUAUCACUCAUAUGUUGGGAAGCGCCACCAAGAGCUUCUCCGACAUAGUGAUGAUGGGAGAAAUGAUCGAAAAUGCUGUAAAGAGCGGCAAGAUAGAAUCGAGAGAGAGUGCUAGGAAGUUAGCCCCGAGGAGAAAAGACAAUGAAGUGAACAACACGAGCACAUUCAACAAGGGGCAGCCCAAGUCAAUUACCGUAAAUCAACCCAAAAUGGUGACUACCAAUCAACAAAGUUCUGUAAGGCAAGAAUCCAAUGCGAGGAAGAACAUAGAAAGGCCACAAUACACCCCUAUACCCAUGUCCUAUAGAGAGUUGUACCAGAACCUGUUCAACGCUCAUGUGGUAUCCCCUUUCUACCUGGAGCCACUGCAGUCCCCGUAUUCCAAAUAGUAUGACGCGAAUGCCCAAUGUGAGUACCACGCGGGAAUCACCGGGCACUCAAUCGAAAAUUGCACUGCGUUUAAGAAAGUGGUCGAAAGACUCAUUAAGGUGGGAAUCAUGAGAUUUGAUGACCCAGCCACGCCCAAUUUAGCAGGAAACCCACUCCCUAAUCAUACCGACCAAGGAGUGAAUGGGAUAAGUGAAGGCUUGAACAAGAAGACCAAGUAUGAGGUGGCAGAAAUCAGGACCUCGUUGAAGCGGGUAUGGAAAGAGAUGACUAAGAGAGGAUUGAUAGCAUUGGAUCCAAGGGAAGAACCCGAAGAAGAGAGAAACUACUGUGAGUUUCAUGACGAGGUGGGGCAUGAAAUCCAAGAAUGUGUGGAAUUCAUGGCCCUCGUGCAGAACAUGAUAGAUAACAAAGAAAUGGAAUUCUAUGAAGAAGCUAAAAGCCUCAUAGAGGGAAAUGUAUGCGCAUCCGAGGGAGAAUCAAAGGCGUAGAAUCAAAUGCCUAAUUAUCCCGUGGUGAUCAUUUCGAGACCCAAAAAUAAUGAAGCUGGAGUAAAAAUGCCAUCGAGGGUCAUAAUCCAAAGACCUGCAGUCUUCCCUUACAAAAACAGUAAAAAGGUCCCAUGAAAUUAUGAUUGCAGUGUGACGAUGCCGGGAAAAGAGAGCCCGGUUAGCGCUUCAAUAAGGGAUCAAGAUAGAGGUUCCUAUACACAUAGCGGGAGGCGUUACGAUACAAUGAAUGAGGAGGAACAGCCCACAAAAGAAAAAGCCCAGGUGGUCAAGGAAAUGAAGGAAAAAGCAACCAAACUUGUUAAUGAGCCAGUUAACGAAGACGAGGCCAAGGAAUUUUUAAAAUUCCUAAAGCACAGCGAAUACAGUGUGGUAGAACAGCUACGUAAACAACCAGCUCGCAUUUCAGUGCUGGCCUUGCUUCUAAGCUCGGAAGUUCAUCGUAGCGCACUAAUGAAGGUCUUAAACGAGACAUAUGUUGCCAAUGAUAUCUCCGUUAACAAGCUGGACCGGUUGGUGAGCAACAUAAGUGCCGACAAUUUUAUCUUCUUUAAUGACGACGAGAUACCACCUGGGGGCAUGGGGUCGACUAAAGCUCUGCAUAUCACCACACGCUGUAAAGGGUACACGCUACUAGGUGUACUGAUUGACAAUGGAUCAGCUUUGAACGUCCUGCCAUUGACCACGCUGAACAGAUUACCUAUAGACAGCUCUCACAUGAAGGAGUGCCAGAACAUCGUGAAGGCAUUCGAUGGCACGGAAAGAAAGGUGAUGGGCAGAAUCGAGGUACCUCUCUAGAUUAGGCCAAACACAUAUGAGGUGGAUUUUCUCGUGAUGGAUAUCAAGCCCUCAUACAAUUGCUUGUUGGGGAGGCUCUGGAUACAUUUAGCUGGGGCAGUACCUUCCCCGUUGCAUCAAAAAUUGAAGCUGGUGUCGGAGGGGAGGUUGAUAACGAUUAAGGCUGAAGAAGAUAUUAUUGCAACUGUGAGCAAUAAUGCACCCUAUUUGGAGACAUAUGACGAAGCAAUCGAAUGCUCAUUUCGAUCUUUGGAAUUUGUUAACGCGACGUUCAUCACCGAGGGAAGCAAAAUUUUGGUGCCGAAAUUGUCCAAAACCACGAGGAUGAGCCUCGAGUUGACGAUUGGAAAAGGGGCCCUACCCGGAAAGGGACUUGGGAGACAUCUACAAGGAAGGAUCGAAACGCCAAUGCUGAAAGAAAAGAGAGACCGCUUCGGCUUAGGAUUUAAGCCGGAUGUGAAACAAAGGAGAAGGGAGCCAGAAAAGAAGCAAGAAAGAAGGAGAGCUCGAUUAAUGGGGGAGCAAAUCAAGUGGGAACCAAUGACAUUCCCCCAUAUAUUGAAAACAUUUGUAUCCAGGGGAAUCAUUCAUCCUGAGAGAGACACGCCAAUGAUGGGAGCUAUAAAAGAAAGUCUGGAAAGUUUGGACAUCAACGUCAUGUACGAAAAGGAGACUGGAAGGGAAAAUUUGUCGGGCAUUUGCCCCUACACGCCUGGAAGUGUUCUGGACAACUAGAUUGCGGAAGAGAUCCUUGUAGUUUUUAGAACGGAUUCAGAGUAAUGUCCAAAACACACUUAUUGCUCUAGGCCUAGGAGUGAUAAGAAUCUUUUGUGAAAUAGGCUGAUGUUUAAAAACGAUAUUUCAAUAAAAUGCACAGUUAUUAUCAUUUUUGAGCAAAUGUUCUCUCGUCCUCUUAAUUUCAUUCAUAACCAUACAAAUGAUUACUUUCGGAUUCUUUUAUUCUUGAAACAUUCUUCUAAGUAUUCUUUCAUUCGUCAUUCAUAAUCAUAUCACGCAAAUAAAUGUUUCGAAUUCUUUUGAUUCUUUGUAUCUGCCUUCGUCCUUAUAACAGGUUCCCAAAUAUUAAUGAUACGAGUGACACUGCUAGCGACUCAGAAUUUCCUUUCGAGCAAGAUGUAUGUAUGGAUGAUUCUUAGGAUUUUGAAGAUGACCAAGGCUGUAACCUAUCUCUUGAUUUGUUGAAGAUGGAGGAACAAGACGAGAAAUAAAUCCUACCUCACAAAGAAUUAAUCGAAAUUGUGAGCUUAGGAGAAGGACAAGAGGUAAAGAUCGGAAUAAGUAUCACUGCGAAAAUGAAGCGAGACCUCAUUGAAUUACUUUAAGAAUUCAAAGGUGUCUUCGCAUGGUCAUACCAAGAUAUGCCCGGGUUGGACACUGACAUCGUGGUGCAUCGACUUCCCAUAAAAGAAUAGUGUAAGCCAGUUUAGCAAAAACUCCGAAGAAUGAGGCCCGAUGUCUUGCUAAAAAUAAAGGAAGAGGUUCGAAAGCAGUUUGACGUUGGAUUUCUGAAGGUGGUAAAAUACUCAGAUUGGGUAGCCAACAUCAUCCCUGUCCCUAAGAAAGAUGGAAAAGUGCUAAUGUGUGUAGACUACAGAGAUUUGAAUAAAGCCAGCCCAAAAGACAAUUUCCCACUGCCUCAUAUCGACACCCUAGUGGACAACAUGGCGGGACAUUCACUGUUUUCAUUCAUGGAUGAUUUUUUGGGAUACAACCAGAUCAAGAUGCAUCCUGAAGAUAUGAAGAAGACCAUAUUUGUAACCAUGUAGGGCACGUUCUGUUACAAGGUGAUGCCGUUUGGAUUGAAGAAUGCGGGGACAACUUAUCAAAGAGCUAUGGUAACCUUUUUUCACGACAUGAUGCAUAAAGAAAUCGAGGUUUAUGUCGAUGACAUGAUCGUAAAGUCUCGAACAGAGAAGGAGCACAUACAAGUCUUGAGGAAAUUGUUCUUGAGGUUGAGGAAGUUCCAGCUAAAACUCAACCCAGCCAAAUGUACCUUCGGAGCUAAAUCCGGAAAGUUGCUCGGAUUCGUGGUUAGUGAGAAAGGGAUUGAGAUCGAUCUAGACAAAGUUAAAGCCAUACAAGAGUUAUCCUCGCCGCGCACUAAAAAAGAAGUUCGAGGCUUUCUAGGAAGAUUAAAUUACAUUGCUCGGUUCAUUUCACAACUGACCGAGAAAUGUGGCCCUGUCUUUCGCCUCCUCAAGAAACAUAACCCAGGUGAAUGGGAUGAAGAAUGCCAAAGGGCUUUCGACAAGGUUAAACAGUACUUAUCCAACGCCCCGGUGCUGAUGCCACCUAACCCCGAUAAGCCGUUGAUACUGUAUUUGGCAGUAUUCGAGAACUCUAUGAGAUGCAUGCUGGCUCAGCAUGAUGAGUCAGGAAGGAAAGAAAAAGCUAUUUACUAUCUCAGUAAAAAGUUUACGGAAUGUGAGACAAUGUACCCGUCGAUAGAGAAGUUGUGUUGUGCCCUAAUAUGGACAACCCGCAGGCUGAGGCAAUAUAUGUUGUAUCACACCACUUGGCUCAUAUCAAAGUUGGACCCUUUAAAGUACAUGAUGGAGUCAACAACCUUAAAUGGAAGGAUGGCCCGAUGACAGAUUCUGCUUUCUAAAUUCAACAUAGUCUAUGUGAACCAAAAAGUAAUAAAAGGAAGUGCGAUAGCAGAUUUUCUAGCCAGUAGAGCUUUGGAAGACUACGAGCCUUUGAACUUCGACUUUCCGAAUGAAGACCUAAUGUGUAUUGCUACGACUGAAGAAGGUGCUCUGGAAGAACUUCUUUGGAAACUGAACUUCGAUGGGGCAUCAAAUGCUGUGGGCAAUGGAAUCGGGGCCGUCUUGGUAUCCCCAAAACGAGAUCAUUACCCAUUCACUAGUAAAUUGGAUUUUGAUUGUACAAAAAAUAUGGUGGAAUAUGAAGCGUGCAUCAUGGGUAUCCGUGCAGCCAUAGAACGUAAGAUUAAAGUGCGAGAGGUGUAUGGAGAUUCUGCGCUAGUGAUUUAUCAACUCAAGGGAGAAUGGGAGACUAGAGACCUCAAGUUAAUCGAUUAUCGGAAGCUGGUCCUUGAGUUGAUUAAAGAGUUUGAUGACAUUACCUUCCACUACCUUCCACGAGACAAAAAUCAGAUGGCUGACGCUUUGGCUACCUUAGCCUCCAUGAUCAAGGUGAACAAACAAGAAGAUGUCAAACCCAUCCGAAUGAACAUUUAUGAAAUUCCGGCCCAUUCUUACAAUAUUGAAAAAGAUGAAGAGAAAGAUGAUCACCCUUGGUAUCACGAUAUAUUGCAAUAUGUGAAGAAUCGUGAGUACCCGGACCAGGCAAGCGAGAAUGAAAAAAGAACGCUAAGAAGAUUGGCCAUCGACUACGUCUUAGAUGGGGAUAUAUUAUACAAAAGAAGAAAGGAUCAAGUGCUACUAAGAUGUGUAGACGCUGUAGAGGCUAGGAAAAUCUUGGAAGAAGUCCAUGAAGGCGUCUGUGGGACACAUGCUAAUGGCUUUACAAUGGCCAGGCAAAUUAUGAGAUUCGGGUACUAUUGGUCCACCAUGGAAGGAGACUGUGUCAAUUACGCUAAGAGAUGUCAUAAGUGUCAAAUCUACGGAGACAAAAUUCUUGUGCCUCCUUCACCGUUGCAUGUCAUGGUUUCUUCAUGGCCAUUCUCUAUGUGGGGCAUGGAUGUGAUUAGACCAAUAUCGCCGAAAGCUACCAAUGGGCAUCGAUUCAUCUUCGUGGUUAUCGACUACUUCACCAAGUGGGUAGAAACUGCUUCGUAUGCUAGUGUGACCAAGUCGGCAGUGAGCAAGUUUCUGAAAAAGGAUAUUAUAUGUCGAUAUGGAAUGCCGGAGAGGAUUAUAUCCGACAAUGCAUUAAACUUGAACAAUAGUACGAUAGCAGAAGUCUGCAGUCAAUUCAAGAACAGACAUCACAACUCGUCACCAUAUCGCCCAAAGAUGAAUGGGGCAGUGGAAGCGGCCAAUACAAACAUUAAGAAAAUUGUGGGGAAGAUGACCAAAACCUACAGAGACUGGCAUGAGAAGUUACCAUUUGCCCUCUUCGCUUAUCGAACGUCAGUCAAAACCUCAACUGGGGCAGCCCCUUUUUCUUUGGUCUACGGAAUGGAAGCGGUGUUGCCGAUCGAGGUCGAGAUCCCGUCCCUUCGAGUGUUGUUGGAGUUAAAUUUGGAAGAAGCCGAGUGGAUCCAAUCUCGAUAUGAUCAAUUGAACCUAACGAGGAAAAAAGGUUAAAAGCUAUUCGUCAUGGUCAGAUGUACCAAAAAUGAAUGAUGCAGGCUUAUGAUAAAAAGGUUCGUCCUAGAGAAUUCCACGAGGGAGACCUGGUUUUGAAAAAGAUUCUUCCCAUACAGAAAUAUUUUCGGGGAAAAUGGAUGCCUAAUUGGGAAGGGCCUUACGUAGUGAAGAAAGCUUUCACUGGAGUAGCAUUGAUUCUAGCCGAGAUGGACGAUAGAAACUUGCCCAAUCCUGUAAACUCGGACUCGGUCAAGAAGUAUUUUACCUGAAGAAAGAGAGGCCUGAGUGAAAACCCACAAAGGGUGCUCUGAAAUCCAAAAAAAAACCCGGAGAGGCCAAGGUGAAAACCCACAAAGGGUAUUUUGGAACCAAAGGGGCUUUUGAGUUGAAAACCCAAAAACGGGCAGCUCAAAUUUUGAAUAUGGGGCAUAUGGCGGUCUUGUCCUUCCAAAAUCAACAAGACAGAAGAACAUUACACCUUGGAGCAUCAACAAAAUACGCGGGAUCUCCUGAACACACAUUUGGUUCGAAUGAACCUUUGAGAAAUUAGAAUAGUGAAACUCGUGCUGCGAUAUCUGGGGCAUCUUUUUCUCAUUUUUCGCACCUUACCAGAUUCAUUAUCCUAUGUAUUCACAUCAAAAUUUGCUUAAUAAAAUGACAUUUGUCCAUUAUGAUAAUCUCUUUCGAGCAGUUUUGUCGAAAUCGCGAUUUUUGAACAUGUAAUAUCUACAUAAAAGAUGUUAUGCAUAUUACUCUGGAAAAGUCUCUAAAUAGUACAAGGACCUGAAACAGGGCCACUAGUCAGAACUAACCAGGUUCAAAGUUGGAAAAUAUUGGAAAAAGAGAAAUCCAAAUUAGGACUAUUUCUUCAAAUUUUCUGGCAGAGAUAACGGCUAAGUAAGAAAACGUGAUAGCACAUCAAUGAUGGAACCCGGACGAAUCAUGAGCAAUGAUACCUUAAACGUUUGAAGAGGAAUUAUUCUCAUAGCACUUCUACAUUCAUAAUCAUUCAUUUAGUUAGGAGCACUUGAUUCAUUUCGAUCAUAGCAUUCUAAUUAUCUGACAUAAACACCACAUCUAGUUAGGGACAUUUGAUUCAUCUCGAUCAUAGUAUCCUAAUUACUUGAUACAGGAAACCAAUUCUACAAAUCAUGUCUUUGGAAGACAGUGUAGUGACAUUGGCGAAUCCUACAGAUCCUGCUUCCCUGAAGUUGCAGUGGAGCAGAUCGAAGACGACAAAUCUUGACUUCCUGAAGUUGCAGUGAAGUAGAUUUAAGUCACUAACCUAGCUCCCUAAAGUUGUAGUGGAGUAGGUUGAGAUUUUAGAUCCUACUUCCCUGAAGUUACAGUGGAGCAGAUCAAAAACGACGAAUCCUGACUUCCUGAAGUUGCAGUGAAGCAGAUUUAAGUCACUAACCUUGUUCCCUAAAGUUGUAGUGGAGUAGGUUAAAAUUUUAGAUCUCGUUUCCCUGAAGUUGCAGUGGAGUAAAUCAAAGACAACGAAUCUUGACUUCCUGAAGUUGCAGCAAAGCAGAUUUAAGUCACUAACCUAGCUCCCUAAAGUUGUAGUGGAGUAGGUUGAAAUUUUCGAUCUCGUUUCCCUGAAGUUGCAGUGGAGCAGAUCGAAGACGGCGAAUCUGAGCUUCUUGAAGUUGCAGUGAAGCAGAUUUAAGCCACUAACCUAGCUCCCUAGAGUUGUAGUAGAGUAGGUUGAAAUUUUAGAUCUCGUUUCCCUGAAGUUGCAGUGGAGCAGAUCGAAGACGGCGAAUCUGAGCUUCCUGAAGUUGCAGUGAAGUAGAUUUAAGCCACCAACCCAGCUCCCUAAAGUUGUAGUGGAGUAGGUUGAAAUUUUAGAUUUUGUUUCCCUGAAGUUGCAGUGAAACAGAUCGAAGACGGUGAAUCUUGACUUCUUGAAAUUGCAAUGAAGUAGAUUUAAGCCACCAUCCUAGCUCCCUAAAGUUGUAGCGGAGUAGGUUGAAGAUUGUAGAUCUUGUCUCCCUGAAGUUGCAGUGGAGCAUAUUGAAGCUACUUGAAGAAAAAAAGUACCAAGAAGUCGAGGCUCAGCAGGUCCUGGCAAAUUUGGCCCAUUUAUAGUCUUUACUUUAUUCUCGUUACACGACAAUAUGCAAAGAAGGGCAGCUGUAGUGGGCCAAAUUUGCCCGGUCCGAAUAAAAAUAAUAAAUGAUAUAAAAAUCUAGAUAUCAAUAGUCCAUUAUCUGUCCAAUUACAACCCAAAAUCAAACCAAAUUAACCCUAAUGUUUCAAGACACAAAUUACAAGUCCAUUUACAAAAUGACAUAGCCCAAUACCCCAAACGGCCCAGAAACUGAGCCCCAUUUUGGCAAACCCUAGGGCAAGGGUCUCCUUGUGCCGCAGCCCUCACUAGUGGCCAAACCACAUUGCGCCAGACAACGCCUCCAACAGCACCAGUGCACAGCCCUCGUACGCCACGCCCGUACCUCCGUACGAUGCAGGCAGACUCCGUACCUGCGAAAAAGGCACAUAGAACAGCAGCGAAUGGGGAAGAAGAAAAUAGCAUUUUCAUUUUUUGAUUUUUCUUUCUUUUCGACUAUAAAGGCCAUGUAAUAGCCUAGGUGAGUUUUUUACGCAACAUAAACGCACAAUAGGCCAUACAGACACAAUCAAUACAUUUUGAAAUACAAAAAAGCAACGAGCAUUCGAAGGUGAUUCCGAUUCAUAAUUUCUGAGAUUUUUUCCUUUUCUUCUUGGCUUAGUUUCAUUCUCCCUGGAAUUUCUUUUUAUUCUUUCGCAUUUUGGGUUGUAUAAAAGAGAGAGGAAAUGAAAUCUUACCCCGUGAAUACG